RNAcentral lists this ribosomal RNA (254 nucleotides) under uncultured bacterium. RNAcentral's name for it is "partial 16S ribosomal RNA". It matches the Rfam family "Bacterial small subunit ribosomal RNA", at positions 524 to 776 of the family's 1533-position model. The record is from RNAcentral.
UACGUAGAGUGCAAGCGUUAUCCGGAAUUAUUGGGCGUAAAGAGCUCGUAGGCGGUUUGUCACGUCUGCUGUGAAAACUGGAGGCUCAACCUCCAGCCUGCAGUGGGUACGGGCAGACUAGAGUGCGGUAGGGGGAGAUUGGAAUUCCUGGUGUAGCGGUGGAAUGCGCAGAUAUCAGGAGGAACACCGAUGGCGAAGGCAGAUCUCUGGGCCGUAACUGACGCUGAGGUGCGAAAGCGUGGGGAGCAAACAGG